Molecule: transfer RNA, 73 nt
Filed under: Candidatus Gottesmanbacteria bacterium RBG_16_52_11
Lineage: Bacteria; Candidatus Gottesmaniibacteriota
Description: tRNA-Ile
Rfam family: tRNA
About the family: Transfer RNA (tRNA) molecules are approximately 80 nucleotides in length. Their secondary structure includes four short double-helical elements and three loops (D, anti-codon, and T loops).
Source: RNAcentral
GUGCCUGUAGCUCAGUUGGCAGAGCAAUCCCCUGAUAAGGGAUGGGUCGGCGGUUCGAUUCCGUCCAGGCACA